This 465-nucleotide ribosomal RNA is filed under the name uncultured bacterium. Its description in RNAcentral is "partial 16S ribosomal RNA". It matches the Rfam family "Bacterial small subunit ribosomal RNA", at positions 28 to 507 of the family's 1533-position model. The record is from RNAcentral.
GACGAACGCCGGCGGCGUGCUUAACACAUGCAAGUCGAACGGAAAGGCCCUGCUUGCCGGGUACUCGAGUGGCGAACGGGUGAGUAACACGUGGGUGAUCUGCCCUGCACUUCGGGAUAAGCCUGGGAAACUGGGUCUAAUACCGGAUAGGAGCCAUUUUUAGUGUGAUGGUUGGAAAGUUUUUUCGGUGUAGGAUGAGCUCGCGGCCUAUCAGCUUGUUGGUGGGGUAAUGGCCUACCAAGGCGGCGACGGGUAGCCGGCCUGAGAGGGUGGACGGCCACAUUGGGACUGAGAUACGGCCCAGACUCCUACGGGAGGCAGCAGUGGGGAAUAUUGCACAAUGGGCGCAAGCCUGAUGCAGCGACGCCGCGUGGGGGAUGACGGCCUUCGGGUUGUAAACUCCUUUCGCUAGGGACGAAGCUUUUUGUGACGGUACCUAGAUAAGAAGCACCGGCUAACUACGUG